GAAUGAUAUUUGAAGUAAAAGUAAUUGCACAGCCAGACACCAUGCAAAAGUAAAGACUUCCUUUUAAAGUGAAUGAUACACUUUUUUCAUAGUGUAUCAUUAUUAAAAGUGAUCACAAAU
Molecule: small nucleolar RNA, 120 nt
Organism: Octodon degus (degu)
Lineage: Eukaryota; Metazoa; Chordata; Mammalia; Rodentia; Octodontidae
Product: small nucleolar RNA SNORA15
Exons: 1
Source: RefSeq, a predicted model, not a curated record